This 460-nucleotide ribosomal RNA is filed under the name uncultured bacterium. RNAcentral's name for it is "bacterial SSU rRNA". It matches the Rfam family "Bacterial small subunit ribosomal RNA", at positions 338 to 795 of the family's 1533-position model. The record is from RNAcentral.
CCUANGGGUGGCAGCAGUAAGGAAUAUUGGUCAAUGGACGAAAGUCUGAACCAGCUAUGCCGCGUGGAGGAUGAAGGCCCUCUGGGUUGUAAACUUCUUUUAUAUGGGACGAAAAAGGGCCUUUCUAGGUCAACUGACGGUACCAUGUGAAUAAGCACCGGCUAACUCCGUGCCAGCAGCCGCGGUAAUACGGAGGGUGCAAGCGUUAUCCGGAUUCACUGGGUUUAAAGGGUGCGUAGGUGGGUUGGUAAGUCAGUGGUGAAAUCUCCGAGCUUAACUUGGAAACUGCCAUUGAUACUAUCAGUCUUGAAUAUUGUGGAGGUUAGCGGAAUAUGUCAUGUAGCGGUGAAAUGCUUAGAUAUGACAUAGAACACCAAUUGCGAAGGCAGCUGGCUACACAUAUAUUGACACUGAGGCACGAAAGCGUGGGGAUCAAACAGGAUUAGAUACCCUUNUANUC